CGGGCUCGGGCUGAGUGUCAACAAGGCGAGCGGUGCGGUUCGGGCCGCGCUGGGCCUGACCAGGCGGAUGCGGAGGCUGUGUCUAGCAGAUACCAAAGAUCUACUCCUGGAACUAUUGGGAGGAUUAAGUGAGAGGAUACAAAUGAAUCAAGAUGGUAUCUGAUGCACAAUAAAUGAGUUACUGUAAGGAUGGUAGAUCAGACAGUUUUCUUUAGCAGUUGUUGCAACAUAUACUCCCAUCAGCAAAGCAUGAGAGUUCCAGAUGCUUCACGUCCUAGCUGACAAUUUCA
This 290-nucleotide long non-coding RNA is filed under the name Fukomys damarensis (Damara mole-rat). RNAcentral describes it as "lncRNA (ENSFDAG00000025068.1)". The record is from RNAcentral. Lineage: Eukaryota; Metazoa; Chordata; Mammalia; Rodentia; Bathyergidae.